CCAGACUCCUACGGGAGGCAGCAGUGGGGAAUAUUGCACAAUGGGCGCAAGCCUGAUGCAGCGACGCCGCGUGGGGGAUGACGGCCUUCGGGUUGUAAACCUCUUUCAGUACGGACGAAGCGUAAGUGACGGUACGUGCAGAAGAAGGACCGGCCAACUACGUGCCAGCAGCCGCGGUAAUACGUAGGGUGCGAGCGUUGUCCGGAAUUACUGGGCGUAAAGAGCUCGUAGGUGGUUUGUCU
This 242-nucleotide ribosomal RNA is filed under the name uncultured Actinomycetes bacterium. RNAcentral describes it as "uncultured actinobacterium partial 16S ribosomal RNA". It matches the Rfam family "Bacterial small subunit ribosomal RNA", at positions 331 to 585 of the family's 1533-position model. The record is from RNAcentral. Lineage: Bacteria; Bacillati; Actinomycetota; Actinomycetes.